GAGGACUUAGCUUAAGUGAAAGUGUCUGGUUUGCAUCCAGGAGAUGUGAGGUAGCUCUUGCAGUCCUUA
This 69-nucleotide transfer RNA is filed under the name Ochotona sp. WJ-2016f. RNAcentral's name for it is "tRNA-Ala". It matches the Rfam family "tRNA". From Rfam's summary of the family: Transfer RNA (tRNA) molecules are approximately 80 nucleotides in length. Their secondary structure includes four short double-helical elements and three loops (D, anti-codon, and T loops). Lineage: Eukaryota; Metazoa; Chordata; Mammalia; Lagomorpha; Ochotonidae. The record is from RNAcentral.